This is a non-coding RNA of Lonchura striata (white-rumped munia), 268 nucleotides long. NCBI's taxonomy places the organism in Eukaryota, Metazoa, Chordata, Aves, Passeriformes, Estrildidae. The record is from RefSeq and is a predicted model, not a curated record.
UUUGUGCUUCCUCCAAGUAACACUGUUCUCCUUGCCCUUUUUCCCUCUCUUCUCUCCCUGCUUUCAGAAAUCGCCGCACGGUGUGGUUAUGACAAACCCACGGAUAUUCCCAGGGGACAGGAUUUUAGAGACUGGAGAGAUCAUGCCACCCCUGAGAGACGAGCACCACCAGCACCACUGAUGGCCAGGAGCCAGUUUCCUCUGUGGGGGAGCAUGGCCAGAGCUGCACCUGCUGUGUCUCUUCCAUAAAAGUCUGCAUUGUCUCAGC